Molecule: long non-coding RNA, 4214 nt
Filed under: Equus caballus (horse)
Lineage: Eukaryota; Metazoa; Chordata; Mammalia; Perissodactyla; Equidae
Description: lncRNA (ENSECAG00000044477.1)
Source: RNAcentral
GCUUUUCUUCAUCUGUUUGUCAAUGGAGAAAUGAUAAACUGAGAGCCGAAGCUGAAAUUGUGCACGAGAUGAACAGAAAAUUGCAGUAAAGCAUUGAAGGCACUGCGGAUGAUGCUGCCAGGGGAGAGGAAGGGCUCCUUGGAUGUUGUCUGACUUGUGCCUGGGGAAUCUUGUGGUCAAGAGAGAAGGCUCCUUUGGAGGUUAAGCAAAGGAAGAUUGCUGCUUUCCCAGAGCGUUUCAGUAAAGGAUGGGCAAUGGAACUCCAGUAGAGAGAGUUCCAUGGAGUAGAACCCUGGAACCCUGAGGACUGACAGGAUGUCUCCUCCAGUUCUAGGAGAACUGGCCUUACGGGACUCUGAAACCAUGGCUUCAGUUCAUUACUAGGGAGAUAUUGUUAAGACUGGCACCUCUGAGUCAUCAGUAUCCAACUUAGGGAGGCUGAAUUCCUCUACUCUCUUGUGUCCUGAUAUAAUUUAUUUUAAAAAGCAUUCAUGUUAGCAUAUUGCCAAUAAAAAUAGCAAAUGAUUGCAUUAAUUAAGUUGGGUGCGUUUGUGAUAGAUAGGUUUGUUUGCUCCAUGCUUAUUUCCCUGCUCUUACUCCUGCCUGCUAUACUUCAACUGCUGGGUCCUCAUGUUUAGUAAUGAGACCCUCAUCAGGAAGGAACCUCCUUCCAUAGGCGAACAGUUAGGAGCCUGCCUGGUGCCAAGCACUGCUGUGGGACAAUCCUUCUUGUACCUAGACUGUGAGACAUUAGAGUUCCUGGUUCUAUGAAAAGGAGAACAUUUGCAGGGGGUUGGGGGGAGGCAUCUACAUUUAUCCAUUAAGUAUAACAUCUCUCUGGAAGCAUUCAAACCAUACACUAUGUCUUCUAUCCAUUUAAAAAUAACUUUCCCAAAACCCAGCAAAAAAAAAUGGGCAUGUAGACUAUGUUUUUUUUUUAAGCAUGUAGACCGUGUUUUUCUGAUUAUGGCUUGUGUUUGCUAAAUACAAAACUAUCUUUUAAAGACAUUAAAAUGUGGAAAAGUCUUUUAUAUUUACCCACAUGGUUACCAUUUCCCGUGCCCUUCAUUCCUUUCUGUAGAUCCACAUUUCCAUCUGUUAUCAUUUUCCUUCUGCUUGAAGAACUUUCUUUAACAUGUAUUGUAUGGAAUGUUCCCCAAUUUUUGCUGUCUGAAAAAGACUUCAUUUCACCUUUAUUUUUGAAAAGUAUUUUUGCUGAGUAAAGCAUUCUAGAUGAGGUGGGUUUUUUCUCCCUUGCAUUAUUUUAGUGGAGAUUUUUCCAAUGUAUUCUGGGCUGCAUGGUUUUUGACCAGAAGUGUGUCAUCAUUCUUAUCUUUAUUCCUCUUAUUUCUUUUUGUUCUCUAGCAGUUAUUGAGGUUUCUUUUUAUUACUACUUUUCAGCAACUUAUAAUGAUGUGACUUGAUGUAGUUUUCUUCGAUACAUUUUGCUUUGGUUUCUUUGAGUUUUUUGCACCUGUGGGCUUAUAAUUUUCGUCAAAUUUGGAAAAAUUCCAGCAUUUUUUCCUUCAAAUAUUUUUCUGCCCCUCCAUUCAUUCUGGAACUCCAAUUUCACGUAUGUUAGACUGCUGACAUUGUCUGAUAGUUCAUGGAGCAUCUUUCUUUUCAGUCUUUUCCCUCUCUGUGCUUUAUUUUGGAGAGUUUCUAUCGAUAUGGUUUCAAGUUCCCUGAUCCUUUUAGCUGCACUGCCUAAUAUGCUGUUAAUCCCAUCCCAUGUAUUCUUUUUUUUAUAGUGUUUUUUUUAAUUGGCACCUGAACUAACAUCUGUUGCCAGUUGUUUUUUCUUCUUCUUCUCCUCAAAGCCCCCUAAUACAUAGUUGUAUAUUCUAGUUGCAGGUCCCUCCCUCUGGUUGUGCUAUGUGGGACGCCGCCUCAGCAUGGCCUGACAAGUGGUACCAUGUCUGCACCCAUGAUCCAAACCAGUGAAACCCUGGGCAGCCAAAGUGGAGUGCAUGAACUUAACCACUCAGCCACAGGGCCAGCCCCUUCCAGUGUAUUUUUCAUUUCAUAUAUUUUUUCCCAUAUCUAGAAAUGACCUUUGGGUCUAUUUUAUAGCUUUCAUUUCUCUUCUUAUUAUGCUUAUGUUUUCCUUUACCUUUUUGAAAACAUGGAUCAUAUUUAUAAUAGCUCUUUUAAUGUCCUUCUCUGCUAGUUCCACAAUUACCAUAAUUUCGGGACAUAUUUCUAUUGAUUGAUCCCCACCAUUUAUUGGCCAUAUUAUCCUAACUUGUAAUCAUUUUUUUUAAUUGAAUGCUGGUCAUUGUGAGUUUUAAAGUAUUGAUUGCUGUAUUUUAUUGUAUUCCUUUAGAGAUGGUGUUGGUUUUUUUCCUGGCUUAAGUUUAAGUUAAUAGAAUCAGUUAGAUCCUCUCAAGGUGUUUAAGUUUGGUUAAGAUAAGUCCAGGGAAGGCUUUAGUCCAGGGCCAAUUGAGCCUCAUUGCUAAAGCCGUAUCAUUUAGGAUUAUACCCAAUGUUUGGUCCUGUGUGGGCUCUAAGAAAUGUUCUGCCUACUCCUUUUCAGUGAUUCUUUCUCUGGCUUCAGAUAGUUUCUUCCUAUGCAUACACAGAUCAGACAAAGACUUGGGGAGACCUCUCUGCAGAUCUCCGGGUAUCUUUCUCUGUAGUUCCCGCCUCUCUCUUUCAUUGCCCACAAAUUCUAGCUGUUCUGAGUUCUCUGAACUCUGAUCUCUGUCUCCUCAACUCAGCAAGGUUUCUGGGCUCUGUAUGAGUUCCUUCUUUUUGUUCUGUGUCCUGUAAACUGACUCUAGGCAGUAAAUUGAUGCAGUUGUAGGGCUAACCUUGUUUGUUUCCCUUUUCUCAGGGAUCAUUGUCCUGUGCUGCCUGUUUCACAUGUCUGAAAACUGUUUCUCAUAUAUUCUGUCCAUUUCCUUGUUGUCCUAGAUGGGAACAUAUAUUGGCCCUGACCUUUCACCUUGGCCAGAGCAAAAGAUCUUUAUUCAUUCUUAAAGUUACUGUGGACAAUAAAGAUUCUGAUAUGUUUACUUUACUGACUCAGUUUUAGCCCCAAGUUUUCUUUCUUUUUUGGGGGGGGGGGGGAAGAUUAGCCCUGAGCUAACAUCUGCCACCAAUCCUCCUCUUUCUGCUGAAGAAGAGUGGCCCUGAACUAACAUCUGUGCUCAUCUUCCUCUAUUUUAUAUGUGGGAUGCCUGCCACAGCAUGGCUUGGUAAGUGGUGCAUAGGUCCACAGCCAGGAUCUGACCUGGUGAACCCUGUGCCACCGAAACGUUGUGCGCAAACUUAACUGCUAUGCCACUAGGCCAGCCCCCCCAACUUUUAUUUCAAGCCACACCUACCAACUACCCAGUCAGAAAUUGCUGCUGCUCUUUAUGUAAAUUUCCAGAAAUUCCUUGAUGCUUUGUUACAACUGAAGGAUACAGGAGUUGUCUCCAAGCAAAUUAAGUAUUACCCUGAACCAGAAACAAUCAAAGCUGCCUAUAAAGACUGUUGUGUGACAAUUACAAUGUUCCACUUGUUUUUUUCUGUUAGCCCAAAGAAGAGGCUGUGGAUACCAGUAGAUUUCCCUUUCAGAAAUCUACUAACUGCCAGCCUUAUCUAGGAGCCUCUCAAGAAACGUGCACAGUUACAGACUGGGUUGUACAUGCUGGCCAGCGGGUCUCAGGGCUUCUUUCCAGAGAACAGCCAAAAUGACUACCCCAGGGGGCCUGCCCCACAAGACUGCUAGAGGAGGAAACAAAUCAUUUUCAGAAUUUCUAUCAACAAUCUUUUCCUUGUAACAUUUUUGGUUCAGCCUCAGUAUUGUAUUCAUGUCAUUUUGUUUUGCUUUCUAUUUUUAUUUCUUAUUUCCGGAGCACUUUGCACUGUUGUGGUGACUCAAAUCAAAAAGGAAAAGAAAAAAGGUGUUUUUUUCCUCCUCUCUAUCAUUUUUAUAUCUUAAUCACUUGAUUAAAACUCACCAGCUGAAGAGGAAGUUGCAAUGAACUUUAUUUUUUCUCCAUUAGUUGUAAGCUUCCCUGCCUGAUAUCCAGAUAUAUUUAUUAUUUUGUACAGUGAGGUAUUUCAUUGCAAACCAGAAAUAAAUAUAAAUCCUGUUAGAUGAAAAUCUUUUCUGAAUCAUCACAACUCAGCUGUUUAAAGGGAAUUUCUUGAUUUUUCUACAAUGAUACAAUUCUGUUAAAAAUAAUUCUUGCCGUGUAUUAUGUUUUUGAAAUAUUUUAAUG